Vombatus ursinus (common wombat) is the source of this 598-nucleotide long non-coding RNA. RefSeq lists it as uncharacterized. The transcript has 3 exons. NCBI's taxonomy places the organism in Eukaryota, Metazoa, Chordata, Mammalia, Diprotodontia, Vombatidae. The record is from RefSeq and is a predicted model, not a curated record.
UUUCCCCACUAUUCUCACUAUUAGAAAUGGACCUCAUUCUCAGACACCUGUCUAACCAGACUAAUUUGGUCCCAAUUUCAUCAGAAGCCGACUUGAUCACCUUGAUCAUCUUUGAUCACCUGAUAAAUAUGGACCCUCACCACCUUGACGCUGUGCCUCCUUUCAGCCACAAAAACCAGCCAGGUCUCCAUCAGGAGUUUCCAGUCCCUCAGACUUGCUGACUCAGGUGCUGACUCAGAGGGAAAUAGGCACAAGAGUAGGGUUUGGUUGACUACCUUUUGCACACUUCAGAUACUGAUACAGCUGUGAAGCAUUGGCAGUUAUUUACAAUUGAGGACUACAUCUCGUACUGUUGUGACAGAGGGGGCACAGGGUUACAGUCAAUCAACAGCUGCAGAUGUUCCAAGCCACUGACAGUUGGACCAGCCUCUAAAAUAAAAUAGCUGAGGCCCAGAGAAGACAAGUGGCUUGUCCAAAGUCACACUUUGGACAAAGUGUGUAAAUAGCAGAUUUACAAGUUGGUCCCUUGACUCCAAAACUGGCGUCCUUUCUGGAGGAGAUGGAGGAAAAGAGCAAGAGUGGAGCAACACAUCAUGGA